UGAAUACGAGACGCUAAGGCGUCGAAGUAGUGUAUGUCAUACUUCCAAGAAAAGCUUGCACUGUCAUAGAUAAAAAACGCCUGUACCAUAACCGACACAGGUGGGUAGGUAGAGUAUACUAAGGGGCGCGAGAUAACUCUCUCUAAGGAACUCGGCAAAAUAACUCCGUAACUUCGGGAGAAGGAGUGCCUUAUUCGUAAGGUUGCAAUAACAAGAUCCAAGCAACUGUUUAUCAAAAACACAGGUCUCCGCUAAGUCGUAAGACGAUGUAUAGGGGCUGACGCCUGCCCAGUGCCAGAAGGUUAAAGAAGUUGGUUAGCAAUUGCGAAGCUGAUAACUGAAGCCCUGGUGAACGGCGGCCGUAACUAUAACGGUCCUAAGGUAGCGAAAUUCCUUGUCGGGUAAGUUCCGACCCGCACGAAAGGCGUAAUGAUUUGGAUACUGUCUCGGAGAGGGGCUCGGUGAAAUAGACUUGUCUGUGAAGAUGCGGACUACCUGCACCAGGACAGAAAGACCCUAUGAAGCUUUACUGUAACUUGAGAUUGAAAUUGGACUUUAUUCGCGCAGUAUAGGUGGGAGGCGUUGAUUAUAAUCUUGUGGGAUUAUUGGAGCCAUCAGUGAGAUACCACUCUUGUAAUGUUAGAUUUCUAACUUUGAAUCAUUAUCUGGUCAAAGAACAGUUUCAGGCGGGCAGUUUGACUGGGGCGGUCGCCUCCUAAACGGUAACGGAGGCGUACAAAGGUUUCCUCUGAACGGUUAGAAAUCGUAUCUAGAGUGUAAAGGCAUAAGGAAGCUUGACUGUGAGACCUACAAGUCGAGCAGGGACGAAAGUCGGUCUUAGUGAUCUGACGGUACUGAGUGGAAAGGCCGUCACUCAACGGAUAAAAGUUACUCUAGGAUAACAGGCUGAUCUCCCCCAAGAGUUCACAUCGACGGGGAGGUUUGGCACCUCGAUGUCGGCUCAUCGCAUCCUGGGGCGGUAGUACGUCCCAAGGGUUGGGCUGUUCGCCCAUGAAAGCGGUACGCGAGCUGGGUUCAGAACGUCGUGAGACAGUUCGGUCCAUAUCCGGUGUAGGCGUUAGAAUAUUGAGAGGAGCCUUCUUUAGUACGAGAGGACCGAGAAGGACAUACCUCUGGUGUACCAGUUAUCGUGCCAACGGUAAACGCUGGGUAGCUAUGUAUGGAGUGGAUAACCGCUGAAAGCAUCUAAGUGGGAAGCCCACCUCAAGAUAAGUAUUCUCA
This 1242-nucleotide ribosomal RNA is filed under the name metagenome. RNAcentral's name for it is "bacterial LSU rRNA". It matches the Rfam family "Bacterial large subunit ribosomal RNA", at positions 1564 to 2816 of the family's 2925-position model. The record is from RNAcentral.